RNAcentral lists this ribosomal RNA (612 nucleotides) under uncultured Methanomicrobiales archaeon. RNAcentral's name for it is "bacterial SSU rRNA". It matches the Rfam family "Archaeal small subunit ribosomal RNA", at positions 263 to 879 of the family's 1478-position model. Lineage: Archaea; Methanobacteriati; Methanobacteriota; Methanomicrobia; Methanomicrobiales. The record is from RNAcentral.
AUCGGUACGGGUUGUGGGAGCAAGAGCCCGGAGAUGGAUUCUGAGACACGAAUCCAGGCCCUACGGGGCGCAGCAGGCGCGAAAACUUUACAAUGCGGGAAACCGUGAUAAGGGAACUCCGAGUGCCCGUAAAAUCGGGCUGUCCAUCUGUUUAAAUAACAGGUGAAGAAAGGGCCGGGCAAGACCGGUGCCAGCCGCCGCGGUAAUACCGGCGGCUCGAGUGGUGGCCACUAUUACUGGGCUUAAAGCGUUCGUAGCUGGUCUGUUAAGUCUCUGGGGAAAUCUACUGGCUUAACCAAUAGGCGUCUCAGGGAUACUGGCAGACUAGGGACCGGGAGAGGUGAGAGGUACUCCAGGGGUAGGAGUGAAAUCCUGUAAUCCUUGGGGGACCACCUGUGGCGAAGGCGUCUCACCAGAACGGCUCCGACAGUGAGGGACGAAAGCUGGGGGAGCAAACCGGAUUAGAUACCCGGGUAGUCCCAGCCGUAAACGAUGCGCGUUAGGUGUAUCGGUGACCACGAGUCACCGACGUGCCGAAGAGAAAUCGUGAAACGUGCCGCCUGGGAAGUACGGUCGCAAGGCUGAAACUUAAAGGAAUUGGCGGGGGAGCAC